GAGGAGGACAGGACAGGCCCAAGCAAAAAUCAGAGGCUGGAUGUCCACUUUGUGCUAAAGAAUGAGAUUUAAAGUCAAGGAGAACUGCAGUAAUUGUAUUCAAAGGGCAAAGAAAACAGCAGCAUGUUCACCAUGGAAAUAAGCCACCUGAAAAACCAAAUGGAUCCCUGGUGUAAUUUUAUGAGCUUCCGCAAAAUUAGUGCAGGAUCAACAGCAGGCAUUGAAUUGAAAGUUUUCAGGCUCAAAGGGUAUCUGGGAUUGGCAUCCAUUUGUUCUUCUUUUGGACAAGAUAUACAUGUUCUUGGGAGUGCGGAGUCCAGUUGUCUGCAUAUCUGGGGGCAGGACCAGUAAUAAGGCAAAGAGCCUGAACUCUUCCUUCCCUCUGAGUGAUGACUGGGAUGCCCAGGUGCUAUGUUCCUAGACAUUGUCACAAUGAAUAGUCUGUGGUAGUUCAUCACUCUUUCUAUUGAAAUCAGUAUAUUAGUAAAGAAAAACUAUCACUGAGAUCUGCAAUACCAGCAGAAGCUGCACUGCCUUCCAAUUUCUGUAACACCGUAUGGUGAUAUGUAAUAAAGACUUGAAAGAGUGCCCAUAAAAGACACUUUUUCCCUAAUUUGGUUAGAAAAUCAUGGAAUUCUUGCAAGCAUCAGACUUUAUUUGGAUUCUCUUGUAAUAUAAAUGUUUUGUUGUUGUUGCUUUUUAUUCUUGUUCCCCCCCCACACACACACUUUAUCAAAUGUCUGUUGACCUUUUAAGAAUUGCUUCCACUUCUAUUCCAAGUUACCCCCCUGACCAAUAGCCCAAACCAGGCAGACCCUAUGAUGGCCAGGUCCUCAGUGUGUCGAGCAGCAGUGGGUUACACCAGCAUGGCUAACAUGAGAGGUCCAGUCCUUGAUUCCUCUCGGGUUCUUAUCUCAAUUCCCAGGUCAGCAGUGUGUGGGCAUGGGCAAAGCAUUCAAACCCAAGGGGCAGCACAACAUGGAAGGGGGGAGGAAAUUGCUGCUGCUUAUAUUUGCAGAAUAAGGGAGAUGAAGAUGUCCUCCUGUGAGGCUGCACGGGGAACAAUGCUGGGAGACAGGUACGGGAAUGGCAAUGAUGUCUCUGCUCUGCUCUGGGAACAUACAAAACAAAGGAAGCCUGGGAUGACUGAACAAGUACAACAGCUCCCUUACUGA
This 1175-nucleotide long non-coding RNA is filed under the name Anas platyrhynchos platyrhynchos (common mallard). Its description in RNAcentral is "lncRNA (ENSAPLG00000028819.1)". The record is from RNAcentral. Lineage: Eukaryota; Metazoa; Chordata; Aves; Anseriformes; Anatidae.